AGGGGGCGGGGACCUGGGGCGCGCGCGGGCGCCGGCCGGGGUUCAGCCCGCAGGUGGAGGUCUCUCAGGUAGCUGGCUAGCGAUCUGGAAGACCCGGGGCUGGCGUCUCCGGGGGUGGGAGAGGAUGUGGCUGGGGUCCCGCGACACAGGGGUUCCGCAGGGGCCGAGGUCACGCGGGCAGAUGCAAGGAGAGGCGAGGGACCCGCAGGUCAGGAAAAGAAGAUCCUGAGUGGCCAAGCGAACGGAGCAGCCUCCACCCGCGUCUCCUGCCGCUCAGCCCGGCUCCCUGGUACUCCUGGCUCCCGACAGGCUUCUUCCCAACGCCCAGCGCGCCCGGGAGUUUUCCAGCCCCGGGGACCCUGCAGCGCCUUGGAUAGAUCUCCGUGAAAUCAGAGGCAGGAUCUUGCUGUGUUGCCCUGGCUGGUCUCAAACUCCUGGCCUCAAGCAAUCCUUCUGCCUUGGCCUCCCCAAAUAGUGGGAUUACAGGGUCUUCCUGACACCCAGGCUGAAGUAUAGCAACAUGAUCAUAGCUCACUGCAGUCUUAAACUUCUGGGCUCAAGCGAUCCUACAAGUAGCUGGGACUACAGGCGAAUCCUGGAGAAGAGGCCCCAGGAAGUAUGGACUGGAAGACUGGGGAGGCAGGCCCUCCAAGAAGACAGUAGCAUCCCCUGAUGUGGCAUCCACCUUCCUCUAGUGUUUGAGAUGUGGGUGUUCCACAUCUCAAUGCAAGUUGGCAUUGGAAGGAAAUCCCUAUCUGGCUCUUGUGCUACCAUAGACCUGGGACCCUGGAACAAUGCUCUUGUCUUCAGCCCCUCUUCAGCUUUCCCAUUGUCCAAUCCAAGCCUUUUCCAUUUUGGCUCUACAAUGGAUUCUAAGGAUAGAGAAUGGGAUAAUUGGGGAUAUAUGAUUGUCUCCUGAAUCCAAGCCUAUUAAUAUAUCCUUCUAAAGGCAUUGUUCCUACUGACUACCCCAAAGAACUGGAUUCCAUGAGUGUCUAGCAAGUGACUAAGAUUCCAAUUUAGGCCUUCUCUUCUAAGAGCCAGUACCUGGAUAAAAGGCAAAAUUCAACCUGAUAGUCUCCUAUAGCAGUUUAGGGAACCACAACUUGUCAGGAAUACAGGACGGCAGGAUUUUUGUUAGGCCUCAGGUAACACCGCUGCCUAGGCCUUGCUGUGUCCAGGGAUGCCAGAGGACUUGUUUCCUUAGCUACAAUAACCACGUGACAGGAACACACAGAGAUUCGGAGAUGUUGCUUAGCAACCGUGCUGCACCUGCUGGGGCUCUGGGCCAGCAGCUUGGGCCAGGGAGCCUGGCUUUGAACUUGGAAACUCCCAUAAGGGCUGUCAAAAGGAGGAAGACCUAAUUUGGGGAGACUGUUUUGGCCCUGGGCUUUUGCAGAGAUGGUAAAGAUACAGAUGGGGAACUGAGGCAGAGGGAACUGGCUUUCCCAUAGUAAUGGAGAAGGGUGGUGGGUGUGGGAAGAGCAGGACUAGUGGGCAGAGACAGACUGUUGGGCUGAUGUGGGUAGCAGUUCCCUGCCUGACCUACCCUAGAGAAAAUCCUUUUGUCUCAGAGGAUGGGUGUUCAGAACCCUGAGGAGGGAUAUGCCUGGCUCAAGAACCGGUUCCAUAGGGCUUCUUAGGGACCUGAAUCAAGCCAGAGGAUCUGUUCCCUAAGAGUCAGUCCAAGGAGAAUUUCCUUCUGGAAGGAAGCAGAGUGCUUCACAAUGGGUGACAUUGGUGGUGGUCAGGGAGUGCAAUGAAGUCGUCUCAGAAACUGGGCUGUUCUACCACAGGGCCACUGGGGAGCUGUCCAUGGUUUGGGGUAGGCUCCUCACCAGCUCUGGCUGUCUCUCUGACUCUCUGCCAGGGCCCAGUUGACUUGAUAGGCUGUGGAGUCAAAUUGCCUAGAUUUGAAUCCAACUUCCUCUCCCAAGGGCAAGGGACUAAAUUUUGUGUUUCAAUUUAUCUGUCUGUACAAUGUGGAUGGGGAUCUCAAGGACUGUUGUAGGGAUAAAAUGAGUUAAUCAUGCUUCUUGGCAUAUACUAAAUGCCCAGUAAAACUAUCAUCGCCCUCAUCCCCACUCCAAUCCUCACCCCCAGCAACUGGCCCAGGGGACAAAGUCUAUGGCCAGGUAUUCUCCAACCUUUCUUGAUACCCCUGGAGCACAUGGGAAUAAAUAAUGGCGAGAAUCUAUAACCUCUGCAUUUGCAGAUGGGAGGAGCAUUCCCCUCCCUGCUUGCUGAGGAUUUGAAUAUCCUUAACCAACUGACUUUGUUUUAGCGAACCAAGUACUCCUCCAACCCUUGAUGCCCCAAAUACCCUAAUAUCUUCACUUUGGUGCUGCUCAUAUUAAAAUUGUACAUAUAGCAUGGCACUUUAGGAGGCAGUGAGAUCAUGUGUUCAGGAGUUGAGCUCAAAUCCCAGCUUCUGUUGUAUCCUAACCAUGAAAUCUUGAACAAGUUUUAUCUCCUCUCUGAGCCUCAGUUUUCUCAUCUGUAAUACAGGGAAGUGAUAGUACCUAACCUUCUUAGUAUGAGAUAUGCCCAGCUCUUGAUAAAUGUUAGCAAUGUUACCAAA
Symphalangus syndactylus (siamang) is the source of this 2581-nucleotide long non-coding RNA. RefSeq lists it as uncharacterized. The record is from RefSeq and is a predicted model, not a curated record. Lineage: Eukaryota; Metazoa; Chordata; Mammalia; Primates; Hylobatidae.